This 474-nucleotide ribosomal RNA is filed under the name uncultured bacterium. RNAcentral describes it as "bacterial SSU rRNA". It matches the Rfam family "Bacterial small subunit ribosomal RNA", at positions 28 to 498 of the family's 1533-position model. The record is from RNAcentral.
GACGAACGCUGGCGGCGUGCCUAACACAUGCAAGUCGAACGAGAAUCUUUGAACAGAUCUUUUCGGAGUGACGUUCAAAGAGGAAAGUGGCGGACGGGCGAGUAACGCGUGAGUAACCUGCCCAUAAGAGGGGGAUAAUCCAUGGAAACGUGGACUAAUACCGCAUAUUGUAGUUAAGUUGCAUGACUUGAUUAUGAAAGAUUUAUCGCUUAUGGAUGGACUCGCGUCAGAUUAGAUAGUUGGUGAGGUAACGGCUCACCAAGUCAACGAUCUGUAGCCGAACUGAGAGGUUGAUCGGCCGCAUUGGGACUGAGACACGGCCCAGACUCCUACGGGAGGCAGCAGUGGGGAAUAUUGCGCAAUGGGGGCAACCCUGACGCAGCAACGCCGCGUGCAGGAAGAAGGUCUUCGGAUUGUAAACUGUUGUCGCAAGGGAAGAAGACAGUGACGGUACCUUGUGAGAAAGUCACGGCU